GUAGUUGUAGUAAAAAGAUUAURCUUGCCUUCCAAGCAAGGGUUCUAGGUAGGGCUAGCGACUAUA
RNAcentral lists this transfer RNA (66 nucleotides) under Modiolus kurilensis. RNAcentral describes it as "tRNA-Gly". Lineage: Eukaryota; Metazoa; Mollusca; Bivalvia; Mytilida; Modiolidae. The record is from RNAcentral.